RNAcentral lists this ribosomal RNA (602 nucleotides) under Meira argovae. Its description in RNAcentral is "eukaryotic LSU rRNA". It matches the Rfam family "Eukaryotic large subunit ribosomal RNA", at positions 66 to 657 of the family's 3401-position model. The record is from RNAcentral. Lineage: Eukaryota; Fungi; Basidiomycota; Exobasidiomycetes; Exobasidiales; Brachybasidiaceae.
UAACAAGGAUUCCCUUAGUAACGGCGAGUGAAGCGGGAAUAGCUCAAAUUUGAAAGCUGGCAGCAAUGUCCGCGUUGUAAUCUCGAGAAGUGUUUUCCGUGCUGGACCAUAGAUAUGUUCCUUGGAAUAGGAUGUCAAAGAGGGUGAGAAUCCCGUACAUGCUAUGGACGCCCAGUGCUUUGUGAUACACUUUCGAAGAGUCGAGUUGUUUGGGAAUGCAGCUCAAAAUGGGUGGUAAAUUCCAUCUAAAGCUAAAUAUUGGGGAGAGACCGAUAGCAAACAAGUACCGUGAGGGAAAGAUGAAAAGCACUUUGGAAAGAGAGUUAAACAGUACGUGAAAUUGUCAAAAGGGAAGCGCUUCAAGUCAGAUAUGGCUUUGAAUGUUCAGCCUUUAGGUGUAUUCAUUUUUUGUCAGGCCAGCAUCGAUUUUGAACGUCGGAUAAGGGUAGAAGGAAUGUAGCAUACUUUCGGGUAUGUGUUAUAGCCUUUUACUGGAUACGACGAUCGGGAUCGAGGUUCGCAGCACACCCUUUUUUGGGCAGGUCUUCGGACACUUUUGUGCUUAGGAUGCUGGCGUAAUGGCUUGAAGCGACCCGUCUUGA